UACGUAGGGGGCAAGCGUUAUCCGGAUUUACUGGGUGUAAAGGGAGCGUAGACGGCAUGGCAAGUCAGAUGUGAAAGCCCGGGGCUCAACCCCGGGACUGCAUUUGAAACUGUCAGGCUGGAGUGCAGGAGAGGUAAGCGGAAUCCCUAGUGUAGCGGUGAAAUGCGUAGAUAUUAGGAGGAACACCAGUGGCGAAGGCGGCUUACUGGACUGUAACUGACGUUGAGGCUCGAAAGCGUGGGGAGCAAACAGG
This 253-nucleotide ribosomal RNA is filed under the name uncultured bacterium. RNAcentral's name for it is "partial 16S ribosomal RNA". It matches the Rfam family "Bacterial small subunit ribosomal RNA", at positions 524 to 776 of the family's 1533-position model. The record is from RNAcentral.